This 1023-nucleotide ribosomal RNA is filed under the name uncultured Bacteroidota bacterium. Its description in RNAcentral is "bacterial SSU rRNA". It matches the Rfam family "Bacterial small subunit ribosomal RNA", at positions 8 to 1037 of the family's 1533-position model. Lineage: Bacteria; Pseudomonadati; Bacteroidota. The record is from RNAcentral.
AGAGUUUGAUCCUGGCUCAGGAUGAACGCUAGCGGGAGGCUUAACACAUGCAAGUCGAGGGGCAGCAUUCACUUCGGUGAGAUGGCGACCGGCGCACGGGUGCGUAACGCGUAUGCAACCUUCCUUGUACAGAGGGAUAGCCCAUGGAAACGUGGAUUAAUAUCUCAUAGUAUCACAAUUUCGCAUGUUAUUGUGAUUAAAGUUUCGGUGGUACAAGAUGGGCAUGCGUAUGAUUAGCUAGUUGGUGAGGUAAAGGCUCACCAAGGCCACGAUCAUUAGGGGUUCUGAGAGGAUUAUCCCCCACACUGGUACUGAGACACGGACCAGACUUCUACGGGAGGCAGCAGUGAGGAAUAUUGGUCAAUGGGCGCAAGCCUGAACCAGCCAUCCCGCGUGCAGGAUGACGGCCCUAUGGGUUGUAAACUGCUUUUGUUUGCCAAGAAAGGACGCUACGAGUAGCGUAUUGACGGUAGCAAAUGAAUAAGGACCGGCUAACUCCGUGCCAGCAGCCGCGGUAAUACGGAGGGUCCAAGCGUUAUCCGGAUUUAUUGGGUUUAAAGGGUGCGCAGGCGGAUCUUUAAGUCAGUGGUGAAAUCUUGCCGCUUAACGGUAAAAUUGCCAUUGAUACUGAAGAUCUUGAAUGUAGUUGAGGUAGGCGGAAUGUGUUGUGUAGCGGUGAAAUGCAUAGAUAUGACACAGAACGCCAAUUGCGAAGGCAGCUUACUAAGCUACGAUUGACGCUGAGGCACGAAAGCGUGGGGAGCGAACAGGAUUAGAUACCCUGGUAGUCCACGCCGUAAAACGAUGAUCACUCGCUGUUUGCGAUACACAGUAAGCGGCUGAGCGAAAGCAUUAGUGAUCCACCUGGGGAGUACGAUCGCAAGGUUGAAACUCAAAGGAAUUGACGGGGCCCGCACAGCGGAGGAACAUGUGGUUAAAUCGAUGAUACGCGAGGAACCUUACCUGGGCUUAAAUGUAGACUGAAUAAGKGCAACACUUUUUCCCUUUCGGCCUGUUUACAAG